This 26-nucleotide non-coding RNA is filed under the name Homo sapiens (human). The record is from RNAcentral. Lineage: Eukaryota; Metazoa; Chordata; Mammalia; Primates; Hominidae.
UGGGGACUAGGACAUGGGUUGUUGAC